Molecule: long non-coding RNA, 388 nt
Filed under: Pan troglodytes (chimpanzee)
Lineage: Eukaryota; Metazoa; Chordata; Mammalia; Primates; Hominidae
Description: long non-coding RNA NONPTRT002184
Source: RNAcentral
UCUGCACAGGGCCAGGAUCAUUAAUAUCACUGUCGUCCACAUCCGCAUCUUGUCCCACUGGAAGGUCUUCAGGGACAAUAGCAUGCAUGGAGCUGUCAUCUCCUGUGAUAAUGAUGCCUUCUUCUGGAAUACCUCAAGGACCUACCUGGGGCUGUUUUACAGUUAACUUUUAAAAAGAGGAAUCAAGGUUGCUAAGGGACCACCUGUGCUGAAUGCACUUUGUUCUGGCAAGAGCAGAAAACUGAGAAGCCGUGUUACCUACCACUACCUGGGAUUAAUUCAGGGAGCGGGAGAAUUCUGGAUAUGACUGGUAAAAACUGGAUAUUAAUUUCUACUACUAUUCCCAAAAGUCUAGAAGAUGAAAUUGUGGGAAGACUUCUAAAAAUUU